GGUUGGUUUAAAACUUGCAAGUCGCACGAGAUCUUCGGAUUCUAGUGGCGGACGGGUGAGUAACGCGUGCCCAUCAGAUAUUAGGAGGGGGAUAACGGUUGGAAACGACCGCUAAUACCCCUUAUGCCGAGAGGUGAAAUCUAAUUGGCCUGAGGAUGAGCUCGCGUCCGAUUAGCUAGUUGGUGGAGUAAGAGCCCACCAAGGCGACGAUCGGUAGCUGGUCUGAGAGGAUGAUCAGCCACACUGGGACUGAGACACGGCCCAGACUCCUACGGGAGGCAGCAGUGGGGAAUUUUCCGCAAUGGGCGAAAGCCUGACGGAGCAAGACCGCGUGAGGGAAGAAGGUCUGUGGAUUGUAAACCUCUUUUGAUUGGGAAGAAUACUGACGGUACCAAUCGAAUCAGCCUCGGCUAACUCCGUGCCAGCAGCCGCGGUAAUAA
Molecule: ribosomal RNA, 440 nt
Filed under: uncultured Microcystis sp.
Lineage: Bacteria; Bacillati; Cyanobacteriota; Cyanophyceae; Chroococcales; Microcystaceae
Description: bacterial SSU rRNA
Rfam family: Bacterial small subunit ribosomal RNA
Source: RNAcentral